Molecule: ribosomal RNA, 303 nt
Filed under: uncultured bacterium
Lineage: Bacteria
Description: partial 16S ribosomal RNA
Rfam family: Bacterial small subunit ribosomal RNA
Source: RNAcentral
AGCAGUCGCCGCGGUAAUACGGAGGGGGCUAGCGUUGUUCGGAAUUACUGGGCGUAAAGCGCACGUAGGCGGUUAUUCAAGUCAGAGGUGAAAGCCCGGGGCUCAACCCCGGAACUGCCUUUGAAACUAGAUGACUAGAAUCUUGGAGAGGCCAGUGGAAUUCCGAGUGUAGAGGUGAAAUUCGUAGAUAUUCGGAAGAACACCAGUGGCGAAGGCGACUGACUGGACAAGUAUUGACGCUGAGGUGCGAAAGCGUGGGGAGCAAACAGGAUUAGAUACCCCAGUAGUCCCUGUCUCUUAUAC